AUGAUCUACAUAACCAAAAUAUGCAGCUUUUCACUGCAAUGAACAAUGCGAAGAAAUCUGGUAGGGCCUCAAGGUGUGAUGCUACUACUGAUCCAGAAGAUGGUCAAAUUUAUGCUUUGCGGAAGAGUGCUCGAGGUAAGAAU
This is a long non-coding RNA of Hordeum vulgare subsp. vulgare (domesticated barley), 143 nucleotides long. RefSeq lists it as uncharacterized. NCBI's taxonomy places the organism in Eukaryota, Viridiplantae, Streptophyta, Magnoliopsida, Poales, Poaceae. The transcript is spliced from 3 exons. The record is from RefSeq and is a predicted model, not a curated record.